RNAcentral lists this long non-coding RNA (518 nucleotides) under Mytilus galloprovincialis (Mediterranean mussel). The record is from RNAcentral. Lineage: Eukaryota; Metazoa; Mollusca; Bivalvia; Mytilida; Mytilidae.
GAAACUUGUUUCUCUAUUCAACUUUUGUCCUAAAGAGGUUUUUUUUAUUUUUAUGCCCCACCUACGAUAGUAGAGGGACAUUAUGUUUUCUGGUCUGUGCGUCCGUUCGUCCGUCUGUCUGUUCGGUCGUACGUCUGUUCGUUCGUCCGUCUGUCCCGCUUCAGGUUAAAGUUUUUGGUCAAGGUAGUUUUUGAUGAUGUUGAAGUCCAAUCAACUUGAAACUUAGUACACAUGUUCCUUAUGUAAGUUAUGAUAUGAUCUAUCUAAUUUGAAAGCCAAAUUAAACUUUUGACCCCAAUUUCACGGUCCACUGAACAUAGAAAAUGAAAGUGCAUGUUUCAGGUUAAAGUUUUUGGUAAAGGUAGUUUUUGAUGAAGUUGAAGUCCAAUCAACUUGAUACUUAGUACACAUGUUCCCUAUGAUAUUAUCUUUCUAAUUUUAAUGCCUAAUUAUAUUUUUUAUCCAAUUUCACAGUCCAUUGAACAUGGUAAAUGAUAGUGCGAGUGGGGCAUCCGUGU